Molecule: ribosomal RNA, 263 nt
Filed under: uncultured archaeon
Lineage: Archaea
Description: partial 16S ribosomal RNA
Rfam family: Archaeal small subunit ribosomal RNA
Source: RNAcentral
UAGCCGUAAACGAUACUCGCUAGGUGUCGGCCACGGUGCGACCGUUGUCGGUGCCGUAGGGAAGCCGUGAAGCGAGCCACCUGGGAAGUACGGCCGCAAGGCUGAAACUUAAAGGAAUUGGCGGGGGAGCACCACAACGGGUGGAGCUUGCGGUUUAAUUGGAUUCAACGCCGGAAAUCUUACCGGGACCGACAGCAACAUGAAGGCCAGGCUGAAGACUUUGCGGACUUAAGCUGAGAGGAGGUGCAUGGCGGUCAGUGACU